This 253-nucleotide ribosomal RNA is filed under the name uncultured bacterium. RNAcentral's name for it is "partial 16S ribosomal RNA". It matches the Rfam family "Bacterial small subunit ribosomal RNA", at positions 524 to 776 of the family's 1533-position model. The record is from RNAcentral.
UACGGGGGGGGCAAGCGUUGUUCGGAAUUACUGGGCGUAAAGGGCUCGUAGGUGGCCAACUAAGUCAGACGUGAAAUCCCUCGGCUUAACCGGGGAACUGCGUCUGAUACUGGAUGGCUUGAGUUCGGGAGAGGGAUGCGGAAUUCCAGGUGUAGCGGUGAAAUGCGUAGAUAUCUGGAGGAACACCGGUGGCGAAGGCGGCAUCCUGGACCGGCACUGACACUGAGGAGCGAAAGCCUGGGGAGCAAACGGG